GUGGGGAAUUUUGGACAAUGGGGGCAACCCUGAUCCAGCAAUGCCGCGUGCAGGAAGAAGGCCUUCGGGUUGUAAACUGCUUUUGUACGGAACGAAACGGUCUGGGUUAAUACCCUGGGCUAAUGACGGUACCGUAAGAAUAAGCACCGGCUAACUACGUGCCAGCAGCCGCGGUAAUACGUAGGGUGCGAGCGUUAAUCGGAAUUACUGGGCGUAAAGCGUGCGCAGGCGGUUUUGUAAGACAGGCGUGAAAUCCCCGGGCUCAACCUGGGAAUGGCGCUUGUGACUGCAAAGCUGGAGUGCGGCAGAGGGGGAUGGAAUUCCGCGUGUAGCAGUGAAAUGCGUAGAUAUGCGGAGGAACACCGAUGGCGAAGGCAAUCCCCUGGGCCUGCACUGACGCUCAUGCACGAAAGCGUGGGGAGCAAACAGGAUUAGAUACCCGGGUAGUCC
This 450-nucleotide ribosomal RNA is filed under the name uncultured bacterium. Its description in RNAcentral is "partial 16S ribosomal RNA". It matches the Rfam family "Bacterial small subunit ribosomal RNA", at positions 354 to 796 of the family's 1533-position model. The record is from RNAcentral.